CAAAAAUCCUCAACAAAAUACUAGCAAACAGAACCCAACAGCACAUUAAAAGGAUCACACACCAUGAUUAAGUGGGGUUUAUCCCAGGAAUGAAAGGUUUCUUCAAUAUACACAAAUCAAUCAAUGUGAUAAACUAUAUUAACAAAUUGAAGGAGAAAAACCAUAUGAU
Molecule: long non-coding RNA, 169 nt
Organism: Balaenoptera musculus (blue whale)
Lineage: Eukaryota; Metazoa; Chordata; Mammalia; Artiodactyla; Balaenopteridae
Exons: 2
Source: RefSeq, a predicted model, not a curated record